RNAcentral lists this long non-coding RNA (522 nucleotides) under Nicotiana tabacum (common tobacco). Its description in RNAcentral is "long non-coding RNA (NTAB_LNC001117)". The record is from RNAcentral. Lineage: Eukaryota; Viridiplantae; Streptophyta; Magnoliopsida; Solanales; Solanaceae.
AAUGGAAAAUUCAGUUUAGGGUUUAAAACCCUAAUGCUGACUGAAUGGAAAAAGUUCAGUUUAGGGUUUAAAACCCUAAUGCUGAUUGCAUGGAAAAGCUCAGUUUAGGGUUUAAAACCCUAAUGCUGGCUGAAUGGAAAAUUCAGUUUAGGGUUUAAAACCCUAAUGCUGACUAAAGGAAAAAGUUCAGUUUAGGGUUUAAAACCCUAAUGCUGAUUGCAUGGAAAAGCUCAGUUUAGGGUUUAAAACCCUAAUGCUGGUUGAAUGGAAAAGGUUCAGUUUAAGGUUUAAAACCCUAAUGCUGAUUAAAGGAAAAAGGUCAGUUUAGGGUUUAAAACCCUAAUGUUGACUGCAUGGAAAAGCUCAGUUUAGGGUUUAAAACCCUAAUGCUGGCUGAAUGGAAAAAGUUCAGCUUAGGGUUUAAAACCCUAAUGCUGAUUAAAGGAAAAAGGUCAGUUUAGGGUUUAAAACCCUAAUGCUGACUGCAUGGAAAAGCUCAGUUUAGGGUUUAAAACUCUAAUG